UUUUUUUGUAGAGACAGUCCCACUAUGUUUCUUAGCCUGAUCUUGAACUCCAGGGGAUGAGGAGCAUUCCCUCUUUUCAUAUAAACUGUUUUUUGAGUCAGUGUCCCAGGGAUGGGUGACUGGGUCUCCAUCUUUGACUUACUUAAGCAGAAAAUGAAUUUGUUGGAAGGAUAUUGAGCAAUUCACAGAGCUACAAGAAUCCUGGAGAGUCUAAUUUAGGAAACAACAGGAUCUGGUAAUAAGGAUGGAAUAGGGACUCUGCAAAGCAGUCCUGCUCAGAGGAAUUCAUACUAUUUUUUCAUUUUUAAAUAUCUACCGAAGAUUCAACAUUUAAAGAAAGAAAAUGAAUCAGUCAACCUUGGGAAAGCCUGCAUCUUCAAUAGGAGAGAUCAUUUGGCAAAGUUAAAUAGGAAUCUGUCACCCAACGAUACAGAAAUUGUUCUUGGGCAGCAAACACAUGAACAAAACCAGCUACCCCUGCAGUCCCUGUUGCCAGCCUGGUGGCCUGGAGCUUGGUAACCCACUCUGGACAGGUCUUCUGAGUCUCAGACCUGGUAUCUACAUACUUGGUGAAUCAUCUAGUUACUUUAGCUUGAAACUUUUGAGAGUAAUAAUUAAGAGGAGGUUUUGCUUAAAUGUAAACAGAAGUUUUAAUGAACUUUGAACUUGUUUCUUCAAUCUGAUGAAAUUUCUUGGUACCCUGUGCAUCCUGGACAGCUACCCAAGUGACCUUCUGUUACUUGCAAUCUCUUCUGAUUUCCAUGAAAAGUGAAUUAAAAGACAUGACAUUAUUUUCCCA
Molecule: long non-coding RNA, 799 nt
Organism: Cebus imitator (Panamanian white-faced capuchin)
Lineage: Eukaryota; Metazoa; Chordata; Mammalia; Primates; Cebidae
Exons: 2
Source: RefSeq, a predicted model, not a curated record